GGAAACUGGUUGUCGGCUGAUACAUAGCCCUUGUGUCACUACACGGCCUAGGGCCAUCUAACUUACUAAAACUUGAAGGCUGCAUCUUGUAUUUGGGCAGAAUUUUACACGGGUCUUAACUAGUUACACGGGUCCAAUUACACGGCCCGUGUUUUGUAGUUCUUCUGGAAAUUCUUUGAGCUUUACCAAGUAGAAUCUUACGCGGGUCUCCAC
This 213-nucleotide unclassified non-coding RNA is filed under the name Hevea brasiliensis (rubber tree). Lineage: Eukaryota; Viridiplantae; Streptophyta; Magnoliopsida; Malpighiales; Euphorbiaceae. The record is from RNAcentral.